UUAAAGUUGAUAUGCCUUGCUGCAUCAAUGACAUGGAAAUUAAGUUUUAGAGAGCCAGAUAAUGCGUGGAAUAUGUUAUUAAACUAUACAGAUAAGACUUUAUAAGCUGGUAUCAUCUAAUGAAUAACUCUGGUGGUAUGGGUUUUGAGAAAUGUUAUUUUGUAAUCUAACUGUGAUGCAGGGACUCAUAUAUUACACAACAUAAUUAAGGUAGGACCUUUCUUUUUAUUUCAAGUGACCAACACGGUAGGAAGACAACAAUGAAAUAUUAUCAAAUUAUAUUGACCUAAAUAAUUAUAAACAUACCACAUCCAAUUUGUUUAUUACUAGUUACAAAUACUAUUAAUAUUGAGUUAAUAUUUCUUGUGUCAUUUGUUAUAGUUAAAACUUAAACUACACCAUGUUAAUCUAG
Molecule: unclassified non-coding RNA, 412 nt
Filed under: Hevea brasiliensis (rubber tree)
Lineage: Eukaryota; Viridiplantae; Streptophyta; Magnoliopsida; Malpighiales; Euphorbiaceae
Source: RNAcentral